Molecule: ribosomal RNA, 746 nt
Filed under: uncultured Parvimonas sp.
Lineage: Bacteria; Bacillati; Bacillota; Tissierellia; Tissierellales; Peptoniphilaceae
Description: bacterial SSU rRNA
Rfam family: Bacterial small subunit ribosomal RNA
Source: RNAcentral
GACGAACGCUGGCGGCGUGCUUAACACAUGCAAGUCGAACGUGAUUUUUGUGGAAAGCCCUUCGGGGACGGAAAUGAAAUGAAAGUGGCGAACGGGUGAGUAACACGUGAGCAACCUACCUUACACAGGGGGAUAGCCGUUGGAAACGACGAUUAAUACCGCAUGAGACCACAAAGCCACAUGGCUUAGGGGUAAAAGAUUUAUCGGUGUAAGAUGGGCUCGCGUCUGAUUAGCUAGUUGGAAGGGUAAAGGCCUACCAAGGCAACGAUCAGUAGCCGGUCUGAGAGGAUGAACGGCCACAUUGGAACUGAGACACGGUCCAAACUCCUACGGGAGGCAGCAGUGGGGAAUAUUGCACAAUGGGGGGAACCCUGAUGCAGCGACGCCGCGUGAGCGAAGAAGGUUUUCGAAUCGUAAAGCUCUGUCCUAUGAGAAGAUAAUGACGGUAUCAUAGGAGGAAGCCCCGGCUAAAUACGUGCCAGCAGCCGCGGUAAUACGUAUGGGGCGAGCGUUGUCCGGAAUUAUUGGGCGUAAAGGGUACGUAGGCGGCCUUUUAAGUCAGGUGUGAAAGCGUGAGGCUUAACCUCAUUAAGCACUUGAAACUGGAAGGCUUGAGUGAGGGAGAGGAAAGUGGAAUUCCUAGUGUAGCGGUGAAAUGCGUAGAUAUUAGGAGGAAUACCGGUGGCGAAGGCGACUUUCUGGACUUUUACUGACGCUCAGGUACGAAAGCGUGGGGAGCAAACAGG